ACCGGGUGUGGUGGCGGGCGCCUGUAAUCCCAGCUACUUGGGAGGUCGAGGCAGGAGAAUUGCUUGAACCCAGGAAGCAGAGGUUGCAGUGAGCUGAGCUAGCACCACUGCACUCCAGCCUGGGUGACAGAGUGACAUUCUGUCUCAA
RNAcentral lists this small RNA (148 nucleotides) under Macaca fascicularis (crab-eating macaque). Its description in RNAcentral is "Metazoan signal recognition particle RNA (ENSMFAG00000055821.1)". Lineage: Eukaryota; Metazoa; Chordata; Mammalia; Primates; Cercopithecidae. The record is from Rfam by way of RNAcentral.